This 2653-nucleotide long non-coding RNA is filed under the name Gossypium barbadense (sea-island cotton). RNAcentral describes it as "long non-coding RNA (GBAR_LNC019967)". Lineage: Eukaryota; Viridiplantae; Streptophyta; Magnoliopsida; Malvales; Malvaceae. The record is from RNAcentral.
UUUAAUUCCUCUCUCAUGCAUAAUUUUUUUAUUGUAUUUUUUCCCAAAAACCCUAGUGUGUCAUCCCUACCUAGUAAACCUAGCUAUAAAUGUUAUUUUUUCACCUUUUUGUCAAUUUUUUCUCAUUAUGUUGCCUCUCUGCCAUCCCCUUCCUUUUCCUCUCUGUUUCUUUCAAUUUUCUCUCUUUUCUUCUUCUCUAUGCUGCCUUUAAAACACAAGAUUCUGCUAUAGUGCCACCCCAUUAUUCAUUUUCUCCUCUUUUUUUCUAUUUUUUACUCAUCUUUUGUCCUAUCUCUUUGGCCGAAUUUUCGUUGCUGAUUUUUCUGUCAUUGCCACACCUUAUUGCCCACUUUUCUUCCAUUUUUGUUGUUGAAUCAAUCUCCUGUCUUGGCCGACUGAAUUGUUCAUCCAUUUUCUAUUGAAUCAUUAUUUUAAAUCUAGAAAUCGGGAAGUGUAAGUUGCCUAGAUCUGACCCAAUUUUGUUAUUAUUUUCUUUUUCACUAUGGUGGCCGAAUAUUUUAGCGACCAUGGUUUAAUCUCACAAGUUCUUUUAUUUUUGUGUUUGAUUGAUUCAAGAUCCAUAUCCAAGCCUUAUGGAUCAGCCAUAACAUUGGGAAAUCUGUUGGCAACUCUGUCGUAAGCCUAAUAGAGUAAGUGUUAAUUUUCAACUUUGGAUCUAAAAUUUUCGGUUAACAUCACUGCUUUGGCCAAACUCUAUAUGUCUUUUAAAGGGCUAUUUUUUAACAUUCAAUCUUUGUUGAGUACAGAUCUGAGUUAGAUCUAAAGUGUAGGAGUUGCAGAAAAAUGAUAGUGUUCGGAUUAGCGUAAUCAGGUGUGGGUCCUAACUAUUGUUUGUUUGUUGUGGUGUUUACUGUAAAUUGUUUGAUUGUUUGCUAGGAAUAGUCAAAUGUUAUAGGGCUUUAAAAUGAGGUAACCGAUUGUGUAAGUAUUUUACAUAUGGGUUGAUUGUGUUUUUGAUCAAUCAGAUGGCUAUAGGCAUGCCAUUUUAUGACUAGUACCGUUAAGUAAGCUAUUCGUCAUUGUUACCGGUUACAUGUAAGUAUGUCUACUGUAAUGUAUGUUGAUUGCAUGUACGCAAGCCAUUGAAUGUUACUGUUUUCACUAAAUGCAUGAAAAGCAUGCCAUAGAUACUGUUUACUGGAUGUAUGCAAAGCAUACCAUUGGCAUUAAUUCAUGGAAUGCAUGUAUCGCAUGCCAUAGUAAUGAAAUUGUUACCAAUAAAGCAUGAUGUGCUACAUGGUUACAUGACAUAUUGCAUGCAUGGGUUUUUGGAUUUGAUGGUGCUGAAGGAGUUUCGUGGAGUAUCGUCGAUUUAUUUGCAAUUUACUGGCAGCUUGUCUACAAUUUAAUGGUGACUUAUCGCAAUUUACUGGCAGCUUGUCUGCAAUCCAUUGAUAGUUUUACUGCAUAUUGUUAUUGGUGGUUUAUCCACAAUGAGCUUCGACUCUUACUAUUUUUGUGGUCGAAUGACGGGUUCUGGGGAAACUCAUGGUGUGUAGUGGAUGGAUGGGUAGGACCUUUGCACUGUUUUGCAUUUGAACAUGCCCAUGCAUAUGCACUGGUUACUGAACUACCGCGAUCUAAUAUGGAAUUGAUAUUGUUGCUAUUUGCCCUACUGUGAUUGUUUAAUUGAUUGCAAAUCUACAGUUUGAACUUUUAAGACUCACACUGAGCUUUUCAAGCUCACUCUCUUUAGUUUACUUUGUUACAGAUAACCAGUGAGGUUAAGAUUCAGAUUCAGCAAUUGGAGGUCCAUCUCGGAUAUUUUCAAUAAAAAGUAUUUUAACUUAAUUUAUGGUUCUUGAUUUGGGACUGUAAUAAUUUAUACAGAUUGUGGCAUGGGUUCGAUAUUUUGGGUUAUUUUGGUAUUUGUAUGCAUUAUCGUUAAAACUGGUUAAGUUAAAUAAUUGGAUGAAUCUACACUUUGGUGUUUAUAAGCAUGUAAAAAUGUUUUUAUUUAACAAAAUAUAACUAAGGUCAUUGUAUUUUUCACUGAAUAAAACUAAGAUAAGCCCACUACAGUUUUUUUCAAAAAAUAAGCGAAUGUUAUAAAAAUGAAGUUUCUGAGAAUCUGAUCAUUUUUUUACUGGGUCAUUCCGGUGCCUAAUGUAACCUUCAGGAUUCGACCACAACAUCUGGGCCAGAUUUAGGACGUUACAACAUUGGCCAUCAAAAUGGCCUAGUAGAACUAACGAAGUUUAUAAAACAAUCAUUUAAAGCAUUUGCUUUAUUUUUGAAGAAAAACUUAGCGUGUUAUCUUCUUUUCACUAAAAGAUAUAAUUUUUCAAAAAUCGAUAUAUUUUAAAUUUUACUUAGAAAAAGUUGAUUUCUAAUUUAUUUACUUUUCAAAAUCUUAUUUACGUGAAAUCGCAGUAGAAAAGUGAUACUCAAAUGAGUUUUAGUUGAGAAAAACUGGAAGUUUAUGCAUGAUAAUUCAAAAUCCAUAUUUCAAUAUUCUAAUAUCAAAUUAAAUGUUAUGCAUGCCAAAUAAACCCAAAACUUAAGUCCCAUGCCACAAUUGAAAUAAAUCAAUACAGUUCCAAAUAAAGAAAAUUAUAAUUUAAAGUCUAAAAUACUUUUAAUAAAAAAAACUAUCGGGGCCGAGCUCUCUGGACUUCGUAGGACGGUAAUA